This is a long non-coding RNA of Cuculus canorus (common cuckoo), 229 nucleotides long. RefSeq lists it as uncharacterized. The record is from RefSeq and is a predicted model, not a curated record. NCBI's taxonomy places the organism in Eukaryota, Metazoa, Chordata, Aves, Cuculiformes, Cuculidae. The transcript has 3 exons.
CCUCGCUUCCUCCUUCUUUGCCCUUUGCUUCCUCCUCGCUUAAAGAGGUUCCUCAGAGCCACAGAAGGUUCUGGAGAUCAAAGAGGUUCCUCAGAGCCACAGAAGGUUCCGGAGAUCAAAGAGGUUCCUCAGAGCCACAAGAGGUUCUUGGAGGUCAAAAAGGUUCUUGGAGGAAGAAGAGGUCCUUUGGAGCUCAAAGAGGUUCUUUGGAGCUCAAAGAGGUUCUUGG